UUUUGCUAAUGACUUCUGUAGUUUCGCUUUUAAAACUGUUCUGUGAAAAUACCUUAUGCAGUGCUUUCUUAAAAGCCCCAUUUGUUUACUUUUACUAAGCUGAAAGCACACUUUACGUCUGGGAGCAACCAAAUAACAGAUUUGCUCUCCUUUGAGGACUCAUCAUUCAGUUAAACAUUUUUGAAUAAUGACAGUGGGUCUUGGGUUUCAAAGAUGAGACCCAAUUUCUGCACUUGAGGAAACCACAGGUCUAAUCGGAGGGCAACAGUGUCAUCUGGAAGUGCCGGCUCAGGGAUGCCGUCCUGACGGAAGUCAUGAAUGCUGGAAGUGGGUCUCGCAGGGUGAGAGGAGUCACCAGGUGAAGACUGAUGAGAAGAGUCUGUGGGUGAAGACAUUGAAAAGGUUUCAACUAUAAAAAGACAGAGUCUCACUUUGUCGCCCAGGCUGGAGUACAGUGGCGCCAUCUCAGCUCACUGCAACCUCCGCCUCCCAAGCUCAAGUGAUUCUCCUGCUUCAGCCUCCCGAGUAGCUGAGAUUACAGGUGUGCGCCACCCCACCUGGCUAAUUUUUGUGUUUUUAGUAGAGACAGGGUUUCGUCAUGUUGGCCAGGCUGGUCUUGAACUCCUGACCGCCCACCUCAGCCUCGGAAAGUGCUAGGAUUAUAGGCGUGAGCCACCGCGCCCGGCCCAAGCUCCAUCUUUAAAUGUGUUCUGCCUGUGCUUGCAGGAACCGGUGAGGCUGUGAAGAGAAUAGUAAAACGCUGCAUUCUCACGGGGGUUCAAAGCUUUUUCCUCUGAAACGCAAUGAACUGUUCUACCACUUCCUACACCUCGAGACAAGUGUCAACUAUGUAUUUUUUAGACAAAAAAUUUGAAAGCUUUUUAUGUUUUAUGAUAUUUUAUGAACAUGAGCUUUUCUAUCUGAAGAACUUUAAAGCACUUAUGAAAAGUAUGAUGAUACUCAUGGGGUCACUUUAGAGUACACAAGAAAACAGACGGGAAGAGGUUUGUUGACAUGAAAUGCUGACCUGCUGACCUGCUGUGAGAUAUUGAACACGUUAUUUUUCUUCCCCCAUGGUCGUUCUUCUGACCAUCUUGAAAGAUAGCCAAGAAAGCUUUUUCUUCUAAUUAUUUCCAGUUAUUGUAGGUUCAUUCAGACCUGCAAUUAAACAAAUUAUCCAUGUUUUGAGAAUAUUGAUUUUAAACAUUAAAUGUUUACAUUUCUAUAUAGAGAGAAUUCAUUCUCUGCCCCCUACCACCAGAUUUUAGCCUUAAAGGCAAGUUAUUUAGUUUUGCUUAUUCUCAUACACUGAACAGUUGUUUAGCAAAUGGCUUAAAUAAUGUGGUCUCUUGAUUCAGGAAAAUGUGGCUCACAAAUGAACCAUUUAGAGCAAAUGGUGCAUCUUUUAUAUCUUAGAUUUAUAGUGCAAUGAAGACAUACUCUAAAGUUCAUAUUUUUAUUUUUAUGGUUCAGUAUAUUUGCAGGAAGAAAGGACUAGAGAUUUUUCAGGCACUUUCUUUUCUCUCUCUCUCUCUCUCUUUUUUUUUUUUUUUUGAGAUGGAGUCUCACUCUGUUGUCCAGGCUGGAGUACAGUGGCAUGAUCUUGGCUCACUGCAACCUCCACCUCCUGGGUUCGAAUGAUUCUUCUGCCUCAGUCUCCUGAGCAGCUGGGACUACAGGCACCCGCCACCACGCCUAGCUAGUUUUUGUGUUUUUAGUAGAGACGGGGUUUCACCAUAUUGGCCAGGCUGGUCUCGAACUCCUGACCUCGUGAUCCGCCCGCCUUGGCCUCCCGAAGUACUGGGAUUACAGGUGUGAGCCACUGCGCCUGGCGGGCACUUUCUAUACUAAUGUUCAAAGCACAUUCACAUCUAUUGUACCUUUUAUCUCCCACUCUCCAUCUCCAGGUUUAUAUUUUCAUUGGUACUUUAUCAGAACACUUUGUACUGUGAUAGCAACUCUUACUCAAAUUUGGUAAAACAAACAGAAAUGAGUAAAUUGCUCUUGAAGGAGUACAGCCUCUAAGACUCAUUGGUUCAGUGACUCAGAAACAUCACUGAGGACUCAGUUUCUUCCCAUCUCUCUGCUCCACCAUCCGUGGGGUUGGCUUCUUUCUCAGGCAGUUUCCCCUAAGUGGUCACAAGAUGUCUACUAGCCACAAAUGGAAUAAGAGGUUCCCUUGUCCAUGUGCACCAGGAGACAGAAACCUCUUCACAGCCUUUCAAUACAUAUUGUCCCUUCUUUUGAUCUGAUGUGGCCACUUACAUCAUGAAGGGCAGUAACCAUACUCAAUGCCCGCACUGAUGGGCUUACAUCCGGCAGGAUCCACCUCUAGGGCUGGGGAUGGCUUAGCUCCAGCUAUGCCAUAUGACUAUGUGUAGAAGAAACAAGGAAGUGGUUACCUUGGGGAGAAGUAGAGAACAAAUGCUGGGUAAGAAACCAAUAGCACCAUUAAAAUGGGGCCAUUGUACUUCAUUGUGUUAUUCUUUUUAUUCUCUAAAUAAAACAAAUUCUGAAUAUAA
This 2522-nucleotide long non-coding RNA is filed under the name Homo sapiens (human). Its description in RNAcentral is "HSALNT0115198". The record is from RNAcentral. Lineage: Eukaryota; Metazoa; Chordata; Mammalia; Primates; Hominidae.